GGGCGCGUAGCUCAGCGGUAGAGCUCUGGUUUUACACACCAGCGGUCGGCGGUUCGAUCCCGUCCGCGCCCACCG
Molecule: transfer RNA, 75 nt
Filed under: Mycobacterium tuberculosis variant bovis
Lineage: Bacteria; Bacillati; Actinomycetota; Actinomycetes; Mycobacteriales; Mycobacteriaceae
Also listed under: 1678 other names
Description: tRNA-Val
Rfam family: tRNA
About the family: Transfer RNA (tRNA) molecules are approximately 80 nucleotides in length. Their secondary structure includes four short double-helical elements and three loops (D, anti-codon, and T loops).
Source: RNAcentral